AGUGGACAUGGGUGGUACUGUGUAA
This 25-nucleotide microRNA is filed under the name Tribolium castaneum (red flour beetle). RNAcentral's name for it is "tca-miR-3851h-5p". The record is from miRBase by way of RNAcentral. Lineage: Eukaryota; Metazoa; Arthropoda; Insecta; Coleoptera; Tenebrionidae.